This 498-nucleotide ribosomal RNA is filed under the name uncultured bacterium. RNAcentral's name for it is "partial 16S ribosomal RNA". It matches the Rfam family "Bacterial small subunit ribosomal RNA", at positions 28 to 507 of the family's 1533-position model. The record is from RNAcentral.
GACGAACGCUGGCGGCGUGCCUAAUACAUGCAAGUCGAACGAGCGCGACCGGUGCUUGCACUGGCCAAUCUAGUGGCGAACGGGUGAGUAACACGUGGGUAACCUGCCCAUCAGAGGGGGAUAACAUCCGGAAACGGAUGCUAAAACCGCAUAGGUCUUCGAACCGCAUGGUUUGAAGAGGAAAAGAGGCGCAAGCUUCUGCUGAUGGAUGGACCCGCGGUGCAUUAGCUAGUUGGUGAGGUAACGGCUCACCAAGGCCGUGAUGCAUAGCCGACCUGAGAGGGUGAUCGGCCACAUUGGGACUGAGACACGGCCCAAACUCCUACGGGAGGCAGCAGUAGGGAAUCUUCCGCGAUGGACGCAAGGCUGACGGAGCAACGCCGCGUGAGUGAAGAAGGUUUUCGGAUCGUAAAACUCUGUUGUUAGAGAAGAACAAGAGCUAGAGUAACUGUUAGCGCCUUGACGGUAUCUAACCAGGAAGCCACGGCUAACUACGUG